GCCUUGCCAGCCCGCUCAGAACUUAAAGGAAUUGACGGGGCCGCACAAGCGGUGGAGCAUGUGGUUUAAUUCGAUGCAACGCGAAGAACCUUACCUGGGCUUGACAUCUCUGGAAUCCCCUGGAAACAGGGGAGUGCCCUUCGGGGAGCCAGGAGACAGGUGCUGCAUGGCUGUCGUCAGCUCGUGUCGUGAGAUGUUGGGUUAAGUCCCGCAACGAGCGCAACCCUUGUCUUUAAUUGCCAUCAUUCAGUUGGGCACUUUAAAGAGACUGCCGGUGUUAAACCGGAGGAAGGUGGGGAUGACGUCAAGUCCUCAUGGCCUUUAUGCCCAGGGCUACACACGUGCUACAAUGGGUGGUACAAAGAGCAGCAAUACGGUGACGUGGAGCAAAUCUCAUAAAAUGCCUCCCAGUUCGGAUUGUAGUCUGCAACUCGACUACAUGAAGUUGGAAUCGCUAGUAAUCGUAGAUCAGCAUUGCUACGGUGAAUACGUUCCCGGGUCUU
RNAcentral lists this ribosomal RNA (503 nucleotides) under uncultured Syntrophus sp. RNAcentral describes it as "bacterial SSU rRNA". It matches the Rfam family "Bacterial small subunit ribosomal RNA", at positions 903 to 1382 of the family's 1533-position model. The record is from RNAcentral. Lineage: Bacteria; Pseudomonadati; Thermodesulfobacteriota; Syntrophia; Syntrophales; Syntrophaceae.